RNAcentral lists this ribosomal RNA (411 nucleotides) under uncultured bacterium. RNAcentral's name for it is "bacterial SSU rRNA". It matches the Rfam family "Bacterial small subunit ribosomal RNA", at positions 1001 to 1414 of the family's 1533-position model. The record is from RNAcentral.
CAGAGAUGCAGGGUUCCUUCGGGACGGAGAGACAGGUGCUGCAUGGUUGUCGUCAGCUCGUGUCGUGAGAUGUUGGGUUAAGUCCCGCAACGAGCGCAACCCCUAUCCCGUGUUACCAGCGAGUAAGGUCGGGGACUCACGGGAGACUGCCGGUGACAAACCGGAGGAAGGUGGGGAUGACGUCAAAUCCUCAUGGCCCUUAUGUCCGGGGCUACACACGUGCUACAAUGGCCGGCACAAUGGGAAGCCAGCCGGUGACGGCGAGCGAAUCCAGAAAGCCGGUCCCAGUUCGGAUUGGAGGCUGCAACUCGCCUCCAUGAAGGCGGAAUUGCUAGUAAUCGCGGAUCAGAAUGCCGCGGUGAAUCCGUUCCCGGGCCUUGUACACACCGCCCGUCACAUCACGAAAGCCGG